This 72-nucleotide transfer RNA is filed under the name Candidatus Pacearchaeota archaeon CG10_big_fil_rev_8_21_14_0_10_31_9. RNAcentral describes it as "tRNA-Asp". It matches the Rfam family "tRNA". Rfam says of the family: Transfer RNA (tRNA) molecules are approximately 80 nucleotides in length. Their secondary structure includes four short double-helical elements and three loops (D, anti-codon, and T loops). Further hydrogen bonds mediate the characteristic L-shaped molecular structure. tRNAs have two regions of fundamental functional importance: the anti-codon, which is responsible for specific mRNA codon recognition, and the 3' end, to which the tRNAs corresponding amino acid is attached (by aminoacyl-tRNA synthetases). tRNAs cope with the degeneracy of the genetic code in two manners: having more than one tRNA (with a specific anti-codon) for a particular amino acid; and 'wobble' base-pairing, i.e. permitting non-standard base-pairing at the 3rd anti-codon position. RNAcentral also lists the same sequence under 2 other names. The record is from RNAcentral. Lineage: Archaea; Nanobdellati.
GCCUUGGUAGUUUAGUGGCUAAAACACGUCCCUGUCGCGGACGAGUCCCGGGUUCGAUUCCCGGUCAGGGCG